Molecule: transfer RNA, 72 nt
Filed under: Ictidomys tridecemlineatus (thirteen-lined ground squirrel)
Lineage: Eukaryota; Metazoa; Chordata; Mammalia; Rodentia; Sciuridae
Description: Spermophilus tridecemlineatus (thirteen-lined ground squirrel) tRNA
Rfam family: tRNA
About the family: Transfer RNA (tRNA) molecules are approximately 80 nucleotides in length. Their secondary structure includes four short double-helical elements and three loops (D, anti-codon, and T loops).
Source: Rfam by way of RNAcentral
AGUGGUGUGGCUCAGAGGAAGAGCACUUGCCUAGCAUGCAUGAAAUCCUGGGUUCAAUUCCCAGCAAAACAA